CACCAUGGAGGCUUCGAUGAAGAUGCAAUGCGAAAAUGGAAUGAUUUUCACUUGUCAUUUAUUCAGUAAUGUAACUGCAGUUUAUGAAUUUAACCUAUACUAUAUCGGACUGUCGUAUAGAAUAUAAAUAUAUUUUUGAGAGAGAAUCUGAUCACGGGUAUGCCUGGCGCAGCCAACGGACCGUUAUGAUUAGAAUAUUGGGCAUGGGUUGGAUUGCUGUGUUCUAUCCCAUUUACCUUGUUCCUUAUCAUUCUAUCAUGCUGGACCUGACUAGGCAUGUUCAAAAUUGUGAAUUUGCAGUGCUUGCCACAAGGAAAUGUGACUAUCAGCAUUUUGUUUUUGAGAAAAUGUGAAAGGUAACAGUGGAAUGAUCAUGAGCGACUGUCGACAAACACAUAUGUUUCUUAAGAUAAUAUUAUUUUCGCUAUGCUCUGUUGCGCAGGCGUGCUCGCCGGGACGCUAACAUUCUUGCGUGAUGUAGCCUAUAGGAAUGUGAAGAAAACGGAGCAAUAAAAUGCAUCGACAAAAUGGUCUUGCUUCGCCGAAAGGAUUUAUUAGUGAUCCUUAAAAUACAUUGUGCCAACGAAGAAUGUCAGGGACAUCAAAUGCAGAAUCUUCUGAAGGAGUAGUCUCCAAAGUGAAAGUAAAAAAGCAGAUCAAGACAAUCAUGAAGGAUUUGGAGACCAUCCUGGGAGACUUGAGAGAUGUGGCCAAAGAGCUCAAAGAGGUUGUGCAUGAGAUCGACUCCCUCACGUGUGACCUACAGCUGGAGGAGGCGAUGACGGACAUUUCCAAGACAGACACCCUGAACAGCAGCUGUAGCAGCAGCACCACCACAGCCUCCAGCAUUGACAAGAUCAAGAUCUACCCUGACGACGCUAUCUUUAGGCCCCCGUCUGUCAUCCCUGCUGUCCUGACUGUGCUGAAGAAGCCCCACCCUCCUCUGCCGCCUCCCAGGCUGACAUCUAUCAAAGCGGAGGAGAACAACAAGAAUCCUCCAUCAGGGAACCUACUAGCCAAGGCUAACGGGACUCUUAUGCGCAAUGAAGUUUUCACAGGGAAGCCAAACAGAGACUUAUUGUACUGCAUCUCAAAUAGUAUUCCAGAGAAAGGACGUACACCCAUGUCUUUGCUACGGCAUGAAGAGAGCAAAUGCCACCAGGCCACCAGGGAGCGGGUCCGAUUUAGUGAAAAGGUCCAGUAUCACGGGUACUGCCCUGACUGUGACAUGCAAUAUGACGUCAAUAACACAGAUAUACACUUACAGACAGAAUUGACUGAAGAAAUUAGCCCUGUCCAUCAGUGUUCCUCCUCCUCACCACCACCCCAGCUCCUGUUGGAAAAUGGCGGCCUCAGCGUCAGCCAUAGUUUCCCUCCUGCAAACUCGCCUUGUGUGCCUCAUCCUAACCCUUCCUUGAAACCACAGAAAACCAUCCUCCGAAAAUCAACCACCACAACGGUUUGAAAAUCAACCACCACAACGGUUUGAUGUUAAUCGCCCUUAAUUAAACAUUUAAAAAUGAUAGUGUUCUAGUUCUUUUUUACGAGCUUUCUACUCCAGUCAAACGUGGAUUAAUCUAAACAAUGAGAAAAAAAGAGACUAUGCACAAGGAGAGAAUGAAUGGUCCUUCUGGGUAAGAGUGGAAAAAACCUUCACUGACAUUAAGCUGAUCAACUUCAGUUCAGCAUACAGUCACUGAGAACGAUGCUCCCUACCUUUGACAGAACAUCCCCCAGAACCCCCGAGCCAUGGCCAAAUAAUUCAUCCUCACAGAGAGAGAACAUUGUAAGUCCUCAAGGCAUAUUCUUAUCCAUGGAUAAAUAUGGCAGAAGUUCAAAUGUAAUGGAAAAAUAAGAUGAAAACAUUGUGUCCAAGUGGGACUCGUUCAUUUACAACUGAAAUUAAGAUUUUCUGUUUAGUCAUAGGUUAAACUGAUGUCCCCAGCAUUUGGAGAACUCUUCCAGGUGGAAGUCUACUCAGUCUCAAGUCCUGUUGAGAGGGCAAGAGAGAGAGAGCGCGAGCGAGGAAAAAAAAAACAUGGUCAAUAUUUUAAAGCCAUAAUUUGAACAAGAAAAGACCCACUCAGUUACAGUUUUUUGCUCUGUGAAUUGUGCUAUAUUUGCCUUGAAGAUAACCUAUUUGAAAUAAACAUCCAGUGAAAUCUGGUAAUCUGCAGUGACUGCUCUGAAGAUAGAAGCCGCAACAUGGUCCUCUAAUGUCUAUACUGUGGUAGGGUGUGAAAAACAUACAGUAAAUGUGUCCUUUUGCAAAUCCAACAUACAAUAUGAGGCAAGUUGAAUGGCUCAGAAAUUGUAAUGGAGGCUGGUCACUCAUUUGUGAUCAGAAUAUGUUGUGCAUAUUGAAAUCUAUGUUCAAUGUCAUGCAAGUUACUUGCAAAGAUAUGGCAUACAGCUUUAAACAACUCUCAAAGACAGAAUCAUUUGCAUCAAAUUGUAUUUGUAUAUAUUUAGAGUAAUUUUCUACAGAGAUUUUAACAUAAACUCUAAUAUUUUUGAUAUUCCAUGGGAUGAGAGUAGUAUUUUGAAGAAGACUGUCAUACUUUUGAAAUACAUUUAUCUCUGCAGGGCAUAUCUGGAUAUUCUAUUUCUAUAGUGAGAGAGUAUUUGUAUAGAUUUUAAAAAACAUGUUAUCGUUAUGUUUACAGGGGUGUAAAAAAAAUGUGUAGCACAUGAAAGCAAACUAGAUUAAACCAAAUACAGUACAUUGUUGUGCUCAGAGGAAGCAUGAUGCUGAAUGAAUGCACGGCUGAUUCUUCUUCCACCUCAUCCUGUCAUCACUGUGGUCUCCUAUGCAUUUACUGGAGAGGCUGUUGAGACAUGCUGCCCCUUCCACAAACUGGAGUGCACCUCACCUUUGCCCACCCUUAGCUGAUGUGGACUUUGUGACUGUGUGUCCUUGUCUCUCUGGACCACUAAUGACUUUGCUUUGAAGAGGACGGAACGUAACAAAACAAACUUUGUCAAUGACGUGUCGGGAAAACAAUGUAUAUGUCCACAUCUUUAUGAAUAAUUUGCACUUUGCACUUAUGUUAGUCUUUAUACUUUGUGGACUUUAACACGUGAAUUACAGAAUAAUUUCAAGUA
Oncorhynchus gorbuscha (pink salmon) is the source of this 3105-nucleotide RNA transcript. It is a transcript of the gene named protein Largen-like, with no coding region annotated. The record is from RefSeq and is a predicted model, not a curated record. The transcript is spliced from 3 exons. NCBI's taxonomy places the organism in Eukaryota, Metazoa, Chordata, Actinopteri, Salmoniformes, Salmonidae.